GAUGAACGCCGGCGGUGUGCCUAAUACAUGCAAGUUGUACGCACUGGCCCAACUGAUUGAUGGUGCUUGCACCUGAUUGACGAUGGAUCACCAGUGAGUGGCGGACGGGUGAGUAACACGUAGGUAACCUGCCCCGGAGCGGGGGAUAACAUUUGGAAACAGAUGCUAAUACCGCAUAACAACAAAAGCCACAUGGCUUUUGUUUGAAAGAUGGCUUUGGCUAUCACUCUGGGAUGGACCUGCGGUGCAUUAGCUAGUUGGUAAGGUAACGGCUUACCAAGGCGAUGAUGCAUAGCCGAGUUGAGAGACUGAUCGGCCACAAUGGAACUGAGACACGGUCCAUACUCCUACGGGAGGCAGCAGUAGGGAAUCUUCCACAAUGGGCGCAAGCCUGAUGGAGCAACACCGCGUGAGUGAAGAAGGGUUUCGGCUCGUAAAGCUCUGUUGUUGGAGAAGAACGUGCGUGAGAGUAACUGUUCACGCAGUGACGGUAUCCAACCAG
Molecule: ribosomal RNA, 502 nt
Filed under: uncultured bacterium
Lineage: Bacteria
Description: SSU rRNA
Rfam family: Bacterial small subunit ribosomal RNA
Source: RNAcentral